AAAAUACUCCCUCCGUCCGAAAUUACUUGUCAUAAAAGUGAAUAAUAAUUGAUGUAUCUAGAAAUAAAAUACAUCUAAAUACAUUCAUUCUUCCGACAAGUAUUUGUGGAUGGAGGGAGUAUAUG
Hordeum vulgare subsp. vulgare (domesticated barley) is the source of this 125-nucleotide non-coding RNA. The record is from Rfam. NCBI's taxonomy places the organism in Eukaryota, Viridiplantae, Streptophyta, Magnoliopsida, Poales, Poaceae.